Ctenopharyngodon idella (grass carp) is the source of this 1422-nucleotide long non-coding RNA. RefSeq lists it as uncharacterized. The transcript is spliced from 2 exons. Lineage: Eukaryota; Metazoa; Chordata; Actinopteri; Cypriniformes; Xenocyprididae. The record is from RefSeq and is a predicted model, not a curated record.
UUUCCUUUACAGCUCAGCCUUUUUAUGAGGGUUUUGGCUAAAUGCAAACCUUCCGUGCACGCUUAAGGACUAACUUAUGAUUGCUCUGGCAUCACUCGUUCAAUACCAGCGUUAUUAACCCUUAAGUUAAUAAGAAGUGUCAGGUCUCAAAAUGAACUUAAAUGAUAGUAACAGCAACUCCUUUUCCUUUGUACACAAAAACAGACACUUAUUCCCACUUCACAUUCAGAGAGUCCAGCCAACACAGCUGAGGCAGCCUCACAUAUCACUGGCCUUAUAACAGGGGUGAGACGUAGUAGCUCACCCUUCUCUAACUCUUUCCCUCGCUCAUUGUUUUUACAGUGUCAAUCUUUCAAGUCCAUGUCCUGGAUCCAUGAUGCCACAUCAUUCUCUUUUCCCACCCCUCAGGUCUGAUUUGUUCGCUGAUUUUACGAAUUAUCUCCAUGAAUUCUCUCUCUGUGGGAGGUUCUGGAUGCAAUAACAAGCUCCAGGUUGCAGGGGCCAGACCAAGAGUUACCAAGUCCAUGUGUGGACUCAGCUGGGCUACAUGUGGACCUGCUCCAUAUGGUUAGUCCCACUUAUUUCUACUGCCAAAGUGAUGACAAAGAGAUGAUAGCACAACAAUGGUGGCUGUGAAGCAAAAUUGAGCUUUUCCUGCCACAUUCUUGCCAAUUCACGGUUACAAAGCAGAAUGACAUGAAGCAUAUGUCUUUUGUUAAACCAGCGGCAAAGCCAGAGAAAAAUUAGAGCAACGCUAUGGUAACAUCAUGACAAUAGCAAUAGCAAAGAACAAACAUGGACUGGACAACAUUAAGAGAAGACCAAGGGAAUAAAAUAAUAAUGAAAUGCCAUUUCUGUGGAUGUCAAAUGUUUUGGUGAAAGUGCUGUGGGACAUGCAGCAAUAUGCCCAGAUCCUGUUUGUUGGAGACGGACAUGGACAUACUGAAAAAAUUUAUGUGAAAAAAUUUAUGUGGCGUACGUUGAACGAGUGACUGGCUACCACAACACAAGGCUUAAGGCUCUUGACUCGAGUUCUGGGUUGGAUACAAAAACAAGGACUGGCCACAUAAAUGCUCUAUCUUUGGGAAUUUAAAUCUCACCAGAUGCCAACAGCGAAUGGAGUUAUUUGGAAAACAGAAAUGACUAUAUAUCUUUACACCCUGCAGUCUACACAUGAGUGUGUGUUAGCCAUCCGGUCUGGUUUAAUAUUGUGACAUGAACAAAAAGCAUUGAGAGCCUUAAAGUUAUAAAUACCUUCCUUGUAAAAGCCUUAUAACAAUGUGUGUUAGAGUCUAACAAGUCUAAAUUAAUGAGGCCAAUAAAACUGUAUAUUUAGACAUUUAAUGACAUCCACGUACAGUGACCACUAAAAUGAUGUGUACAGUUAAGCUAUAUACUUAAAAAUUAAAAAAGAUUCCAAGG